This 490-nucleotide ribosomal RNA is filed under the name uncultured bacterium. RNAcentral's name for it is "partial 16S ribosomal RNA". It matches the Rfam family "Bacterial small subunit ribosomal RNA", at positions 30 to 507 of the family's 1533-position model. The record is from RNAcentral.
AUUGAACGCUGGCGGCAGGCCUAACACAUGCAAGUCGAACGGUAACAGGAAGCAGCUUGCUGCUUUGCUGACGAGUGGCGGACGGAUGAGUAAUGUCUGGGAAACUGCCUGAUGGAGGGGGAUAACUACUGGAAACGGUAGCUAAUACCGCAUAACGUCGCAAGACCAAAGAGGGGGACCUUCGGGCCUCUUGCCAUCGGAUGUGCCCAGAUGGGAUUAGCUAGUAGGUGGGGUAAAGGCUCACCUAGUCGACGAUCCCUAGCUGGUCUGAGAGGAUGACCAGCCACACUGGAACUGAGACACGGUCCAGACUCCUACGGGAGGCAGCAGUGGGGAAUAUUGCACAAUGGGCGCAAGCCUGAUGCAGCCAUGCCGCGUGUAUGAAGAAGGCCUUCGGGUUGUAAAGUACUUUCAGCGGGGAGGAAGGGAGUAAAGUUAAUACCUUUGCUCAUUGACGUUACCCGCAGAAGAAGCACCGGCUAACUCCGUG